This 72-nucleotide transfer RNA is filed under the name Camelus bactrianus (Bactrian camel). It matches the Rfam family "tRNA". From Rfam's summary of the family: Transfer RNA (tRNA) molecules are approximately 80 nucleotides in length. Their secondary structure includes four short double-helical elements and three loops (D, anti-codon, and T loops). RNAcentral also lists the same sequence under 2 other names. Lineage: Eukaryota; Metazoa; Chordata; Mammalia; Artiodactyla; Camelidae. The record is from Rfam by way of RNAcentral.
GAGGGUAUAGCUCAGUGGUAGAGUGCGCACUUAGCAUGCACCAGGUCCUAGGCUCAACCCCUAGUACCUCCA